GAUGAACGCUGGCGGCGUGCCUAAUACAUGCAAGUCGAGCGAACAGACGAGGAGCUUGCUCCUCUGACGUUAGCGGCGGACGGGUGAGUAACACGUGGAUAACCUACCUAUAAGACUGGGAUAACUUCGGGAAACCGGAGCUAAUACCGGAUAACAUGUUGAACCGCAUGGUUCAACAGUGAAAGACGGUCUUGCUGACGCUUAUAGAUGGAUCCGCGCCGCAUUAGCUAGUUGGUAAGGUAACGGCUUACCAAGGCAACGAUGCGUAGCCGACCUGAGAGGGUGAUCGGCCACACUGGAACUGAGACACGGUCCAGACUCCUACGGGAGGCAGCAGUAGGGAAUCUUCCGCAAUGGGCGAAAGCCUGACGGAGCAACGCCGCGUGAGUGAAGAAGGUCUUCGGAUCGUAAAACUCUGUUAUUAGGGAAGAACAAAUGUGUAAGUAACUAUGCACGUCUUGACGGUACCUAAUCAGAAAGCCACGGCUAACUACGUG
Molecule: ribosomal RNA, 497 nt
Filed under: uncultured bacterium
Lineage: Bacteria
Description: partial 16S ribosomal RNA
Rfam family: Bacterial small subunit ribosomal RNA
Source: RNAcentral